This is a long non-coding RNA of Mustela erminea (ermine), 1544 nucleotides long. RefSeq lists it as uncharacterized. The record is from RefSeq and is a predicted model, not a curated record. The transcript is spliced from 4 exons. NCBI's taxonomy places the organism in Eukaryota, Metazoa, Chordata, Mammalia, Carnivora, Mustelidae.
GGGGAGGGCCGUGGUUAGGAAUUCCACAUGUAAAUUUUAGGGGGACACAAUUCUGCCCAUCACAGGGAUAUGAGCUGAAAGAAUAUCUUGGCCAAAUUAUUCCAUCCCACCAGCAUCAGGAGAAGGGAACCAAACUGUAUCAGAGAGCUCCACAGGAAACCCAGUGUGGGAGUAAGGAGGCAUUUCCCCACCAGCUCUGCAGUGAAGCAGAUCUCCCUGGAUGCUCUCCCCGUAGCAGCACAGCCCACGGCAGCCAGGACUGCAGGGUAAGUGGAAAUCCAGGACCCCAAAGCCGGGCUGCCAGCUCCUCAUCUAGACCUCUGUUCCUGCCUCUCAGCUACCCUUCCCUCCUGCCUGGGAGCCAUGGAUAAAAACAACUACCUGCUCUGUCUGGAAACCAACACCAGAGGCUGCAUCUUAUUUGCAUUUCCUUCUCUUCCUCCGCCCUCUCAGAUCUGAGUCCAGAAUGACAUACCUGUAUGAGGAAGAUCACAGCUUGGCAUCAACUUUAGAGACAGAAUAGGAAAUGUCCUUGAAAGAAUUACAGGUAGACAGAGAAUCAUUUGAAAGAAAACCUUCUUGGCUGCAGAUUGCACACAUAUUUUUGAACAUCUCAGAGUAAAAAGGAAUGGUUCAAGUCACUUGUCAAAUCUAAGCGGAUGCAAAAUUUAUAUAUGUGUGCCCACCUGCCUCCCCCACCACCGGAGUGUAAAGCUCUCCCUUGGAAGAAUGUCAAUAGUGACAACGAGGUCAAUCUAUGCAGCUGUGGUGUAAAUCUUCCCUGAAAUCAACUGCACGGAUGUGUUCGUCCUCCCUGGGGGCCUGCGACCGAAUAAUGCAGGCUGUGUGACUGUGUCCCUGACUGGCUCCCUGCCCCCCACCCCCUCUCGGUGCAAACCCGUCCGGCAAGCUGCCGUGUCGCUGGCAUCCUCCAGGGGCUUAACCAGCAAUAAGCCGUCUCCGCAGAGAAGGACAUGUGACGGCUUCGAGCUCCAUCAUGUGACGUGCACUGGGCGUGAAGAGCAGUUGCUUCUCCUUGGCUUUGGAGACCCUCCCUAUUCGGUCACAAUCCUGCCUUCCAAAGACCCCUUCCCUCCACCAGUGUACCUGAGCCACCCCACCCCCUUCCAGCUUCCCAGACCCGCUGCGACCUCCUGCUGUAAACUUCCCUGUGAUCUGAACCUCUUCUUCCCAGCCCUCUUCCCCAUCCUUCAGUGCGUCUUCCUCACUGGUUAACUGAAGUGUCUGGCAGAUAGGGGCUUCGAAAAUGUUCGCUCACUGAAGGAGAGACGGCUUUAGCAGCCCAGUCUUUGAGUGUUUCAUUUAGCUGUUUGCUCAACACGGCAGGAUGGUUCCAGGCCAAGCCUCGGCCACCGUUGUUUUCUCUACCUGGGAUGCCCUUACCUCUGCGCCACAAUCCACAUCCUAUUUACCCUUCCUACUGGGCUCAUUCUCCUCUCCAAGGCCACCCCUCUUGCCUAACCCAUCAGAUCCAGUGGGAGUUUUCCCCUUUUUUUUUUUUUUAAAGAUUUUAUUUAUUUAUU